GAUGGGUUACACUCGCUACAUAGAAACGGAAUAUAUAGUUAAAUCAUAUGUAAAGGAGGACUUGGUUGUAAUUAAAUUUCAAAAUAAAAUGAAGGUGAAUUUAAGACAUGCACACAUCGCCCGUCACUCUCUCCCCAAGGAGAGAUAAGUCGUAACAAAGUAGGUGUAACGGAAGUUGUACCUGU
This 185-nucleotide ribosomal RNA is filed under the name Dendrobaena octaedra. Its description in RNAcentral is "partial 12S ribosomal RNA". It matches the Rfam family "Microsporidia small subunit ribosomal RNA", at positions 1073 to 1303 of the family's 1311-position model. The record is from RNAcentral. Lineage: Eukaryota; Metazoa; Annelida; Clitellata; Crassiclitellata; Lumbricidae.